Molecule: transfer RNA, 75 nt
Filed under: Streptomyces phage StarPlatinum
Lineage: Duplodnaviria; Heunggongvirae; Uroviricota; Caudoviricetes; Stanwilliamsviridae
Also listed under: 7 other names
Description: tRNA-Lys
Rfam family: tRNA
About the family: Transfer RNA (tRNA) molecules are approximately 80 nucleotides in length. Their secondary structure includes four short double-helical elements and three loops (D, anti-codon, and T loops).
Source: RNAcentral
GAUCCAGUCGCACAAUUGGCCGUGCAAUGGGCUCUUAACCCUUGUGAAUGUGAGUUCGAGUCUCACCUGGAUCAC